GCUGGGGCCCGGGGGCGGCUCCGGUCCCCGUGUGUCCGUGGAGCUGUCAGCUGCGGGGCACGGGGAUAGCUCCGCAGAGCCCACCGCUGGCUGUGAUGCGUGGUACCCUGCCUGGUACAUGGUACCUGGGGAUCUACUGACCCAUAGCCCAGAUGAGUAGAAGCCAAAAGGACCUACAGCCCCAUAACCCCGAUGAAUAGGAGCCGGAAGGACCUACAGACCCGUAACCCGGAUGAGUAGGAGCCAGGAGGACGAGAGAAACGAGAACGCGGCCAUCAGCACACGGAGCUGCUUGUUGCAGGGCUCUGCGUGCUCUUGUGAUGAGCAGUGGGACCCUGGAGAGCAGGGCAGCGUGAGCAAGCUGUGGGCUUUGAUGGGUUCAGCCUGCUGGAAGAGAAGUUCAGGCCUUUGGGACCUGAGAUGGAGCCCAUGUGGGGAAGCCUCACACCUCCUCGCCCUCUCUCACGCUGUCCGUCCCCGUCCGUGGGCUCGCAGCCUGCAGGCAGUGCUCGUUUGGGGCUUCCUGGUUCCCAGCGCCGCGGCGCUUGCGUUGCUUUGGCAGGAAGUGACCAGCUGUUGUGCAGAAAGCUGGCCUCCAGCCAGAGCCCGAGUUCAAACAGAGCCCAGCAAAUGGCCUUUCCCCCUUCCUCCGCGUUUAAAGCCCUGCUCACAGCCGUAGUUCUAUUUAUAAUACCCAGGAAAAGCAAGCUGAGACUUUCCCACAGUGCCUGCUUUGCAGGCGAUUGUUGUUCGGGAAGCUGGAAUGUACACGAUAUUAUUUUUGAAUCCCCUGGGGAGGAUUUUAUUGCGCGUCCCUUCGUGUCCCCAUCUGUGCCAAGGAAAGUUUUGCUGAGCGCGAGGUCUCUUACUGCUGCUUGUAGCUCUGAGAAGCUUUGCUGAGAUGCUUUGGGUGUCUCUGUGUCUGUAACACGCGUGCGUCCACCAUUCCCCAUACUAUUUUGCAGGGUGCCGAGAUGUGCUGCUAGGAUGGUGAUUCCACCCCUGCCUGCCCGUUCCCAAGGCAUUUGUCACCUGCUAGUGGGGUCUCUGGCACUUGUGGCUUUCCCAUUUGCCAGCUCUGCAAAGCAGUGCGCUGCUGUUUUUCUUAGGGCAUUUCUCUGUCCCUUGUUUGCUGUCCUUGCUGUACAGCAGUGAGGCUCUGCAGGGCACUGUCAUCCUUCUGCCUAGUGAACUGUCACUUUUCUCUCCGUUCUUUUUUUUUUUUUUUUUCAAAAGCCAUUUGCAAGCACCUUCCCAGCUCCCAAAGCUCUGUGCGUUAUUUUAGCAUGGCAUCCCAUGUGGCAGUCCAGCAGAGCACAUCCUUUCCUGGCCUGGGAACGCUUCUUGUGCUUCAGCCAAUGCAAGGUGUGGAACUGAUGAUGUCUGCAGGCCUUGGUGUUUUAGGGCCUGGCAGCCUCACGGUGCUGCCCGGCGUGGAAGACGCUAGGUGGAGACAGGCGAGGAGAAGAUGACAGGAGGACAACUGCUUGGUCACAGCUCUCUGAACAUGGGACUGACAGCAGAGAUGCUACCCAGAUGUUCGGGGCUGAGGAGGACAGCAGGAUCCCUGUGGGAAGGGGCCAUGUCUUGUGUGUUUGCUCUGCACUCUUCCUUGGCAUCAGUCCUGGCUGUGCUGUCCUUGAGUUCGUGUGAGAAAAGGCCAGAAGCGUGUUCACCCCCUCUGACUGGCUCCGUGGCAAUGCAGUCACCGGCUCUCUCGCUGACCUUGCAGUGAUGCAGCCUCUCAGAUAAGGAAACCAGUGCUGCUGCAGAGGCCGUUGUACUAGGGAAGCUGUAGCCUUUCCCUCUGCCUGUUCCCACAGUGAGUACCGCGUGCUUUUCCCUUGGCCGUGCCCUCACCAUCGCGACCAGAACCUCAGAGCCCUCAGUACCGCAAAGCUGGCUGUGUCGGAGGGGUGUUGCCUAAUGGAAAACAUUUUGGAACAGAGCUUUCAAAAUAAAGAUAGAAAAAGGUCGGUAGCUUUACAAGUAAUUAAUACCCACAGUCAUUUAAAAUUGUCUUUAGAAAUGUGCCGUUCAGAACUUUUUAGGGCUGAGAACGUAUCUGGGAAGAUAGUUAUGUUUUCAGCUGCAGCCUUUUUACCCUGCUUUUGUGAUUACUCUUUUUCUAUGUUAGGAUCUUGUUUUGCUAGGGGAAAAAAAAAAAAAAAAAAAAAAAAAAAGAACAGAACACUGCCAAGAAAUUUUGUUUUCAUACGCUGGUCCUCCCAGCCCAGCUGCCAGCUCGGCCUUCCUGUGCCGACACGUAUCAUGUUACGAGUGUCACAGCACCAGCAGCGUUCCUGACACCUGAUUUUGGCUUCCCGUGUUUCUGGGUGAGCCGUGGACAUGCUCAGGGAAGCCGGUCAGUCUGUAGGGCUGGGAGGCUGGAAUCGUGUCUCACAGUUCUCGUGUGACUGUCCACCUCGGGGAUGGGUUUUAAUGGUUGAAGCAAGCCAUGCUGAUGCAGUUUUCUGCUGUUCCUUCAUAUUUCCGUUGCAGUGAGUUGAUUCCCUGGCAGACCCGCCUGGAGCUGGGGGUCAGAGCUGAGGCACGCUGCUGCCAUCCGUGUCUCUCUGUUUUUUAAUGAGCUCUGUCAGAAUUCGUUACUUAGCCAUUAAGCGGUGUCAGCGCAGAGUUCAUGCAUGAGCUAAGUUGAAAAUCUGCUAGGUGUGAAUUAGUGAUGAGAGAAAAGCAGGUCAAGGAACAUGUUGUUUCAGAGCAUGCUGAGCUUCAAGCUUAGCAGAGGCAAUGCUGGUGCAUCCAAGGUCUCGAACAGGCAGAAAAAAGAACAUAGGCAGGGGAUGAGAGCUGGUGAUGAGACGUGGUAGCCCAUCCAUCAGUCCGUUGCAGACCUACAUGUCACCAAUGAGCACUGCACUCUGAAGAUGCUUUGGGCCAGCCCCCAAGUUUUUGCAGGCAUCAGAGAGGGCUCUGCUUGCAUCAGUGGGGUGGUCAUAGGAUGAGGUGCUGCUGAGAGAGACACACGAGUCCCCAGCAAGCCUGCACAGUGUCAGGAUGGGUUGCCCUGGAGAGGCAGGCAGGGUUUUACCUCAAAUACUGGUAAAAGACAGUUCCUCUGCCCGUGAUCGCUUGGCAUAGCACAACCUGGAAAUGAGGUGUGAUGGAAAAAAUAAGCCAUGAAGGACAAAGCCUACAGCAAAGACAGGAACAUGUAAAUGCGAGGUUCGGGCAUGUGGCUCCCAGCUUCUGGCUGCGUCAGCAGCACAAGGUUAGCUUGCUUCCCUUGGUCAAAAUAAAGGCUUCUGUGUUUCUCUGCCUAUGUUUGCUGUGAUGGGAGGAUGCUCACACCUUUUCUGCGUCAUCUUGGUCUCCCUGUUCCUCUGUGCCUGGAGCCCUUUUCUUUGACUGCUUGUGGUGUUGGUUCAUGCUGCAGGAUACAGCCAAACUCUCCUGGUGCAGGCUCUGGUGGGUGGCACCGAGUGCCGAAAAUGAGGCCCUGGGGAAAUAUCUGAGGACAAAUUGCUAGUGAUGAGAGAGAAGUGCAUUUCUGGAGGGACCUGCCUGGGGAAAAGGAGGCAUUUGGGAAGCUAAAUAUUGUGUUUAAAACAUAAAGGCAGGAACAUGAUUCCCAGCGUGCAGAAAAACGCACAUGCCUCCUGCUAACGUCAUGCAAGCUGCUUGUUUUCUGUGGCACACUAAUGGGUGCUGCAGCCGAUAGAAGGCAAAAAGGCUGGUGGAUGUGACACAGAAAGCAGACGGGCUGUGAGGAGGUGUCUUGCUCUGACACAUUGCACGUCUGAACCCAGCUAGGUCUUUGUACUGAUUUUUGUAAAAGCCCUUUCAAUUAUUUUUGCAGUGAGCUCAUUCUUUCUGGCACAUGUCCUCUCCCUUGUUCAUUUAACACAGGCUACGUUGCACCUCUCUUCAGCCUUCUGCAUGUGAGCUGGGAACAAGCAGCUCUGCUUGUUGUCCCCAGGGAAAAACAGGCACCUUUGGGGUAUCUCAUCUUGGCUGCUUUUCGAUGCUGUGUGACGGUGGGUUGACUGGAGCCGGAGGUGUUUCUAAUAGAGCUGCCUGAAGUUAGCCAAAAUAGGGCUGGCGUGCUCCGCACGCACUGUGAGGCUCACUCAGAAGCUGGCUUUCCUUCUGUUUCGGUGUUUGGGUUUCAGGCAUGUUGCAAAGUGAUGCUGGAGGCUUUGGCUUGGCUGCUGGCUGGGCAGCCUGGUGGUCCAGGAGCACGAGUUUGCUCCAGGCUGCAAAGCGUCUGCUUGCUGCAGCUGCUGGAAACAAAGAGCUGAGGAGCUCGCGGACCUGUCCAGGCAAAACACCUCCUCUGUUUGCUCUAAUAAUAUUGUUUUUCUCAAUUCUACACCCCCAUAACAAUGUGUCUGGGCCUGUUUUAAUCCACUGGAUCACUUGGAGGCUGCAACUGAGGUCUGUUAUCCAGAUAUUUCCUGAAUCUGAUCUUGACUCUGUCCCAUCCUGCGGACUGCUGGAAGAGGUAGCACCAUUCCUUUUUCCCGUGUCGCCUGCGCACAUGUGAGCUUGGGAAUGCUUUCUACAAACCCCAAACCCACAUGCUCCUAUUUGGCUCACUCGUGGUUUUCUGCACGUGCAAGGGCUUCUGCUCAGUGUCUUUCCAUUCCCAUGUGGUCGGAUUCAUGAAGCUGAUGUUUUUGUGGCCCCACAGGAAUUUGCAGGCUCAGUGAAACUGCUCAGGGCUCCCUGCUGAGGCUGGCUUCGUGUUCGCUGUCCAGAUUGCUUGGGAACAGAGGCAAAGAGAAGAACAUUGUCCCACAAAGCCACAUGCCCCACUUGCAGCCUGGGAGCUGAGGCAUGGCUUCUGACUUUGCUCUGCAGCCCCAGUGUCUCAACCGCAAGCCAGGACACUUAUCAACCUGAAGCUGCAGGUUUUCUUGUUAUGGGCUCCUGUACGUGUUCCAAAUGCUGCUGAGACAGCUCUGUGGGUAUUUUUAGUGUGAAUGAGUAUAAAUAGGCACGGAUACUUGUCUCCAAGAAUUUUCUUCUUUAAGGUUUAAUGGAUGUUUUGCCAAGAGAUGGAGGUCGAUUGUUUGUUCAUGACGUGGAUUGCUGAAUUGCUUGAUCCAGUAUGAAUGUACAACCCUUUCUAUUAGCUGACUCAAAACCACUAGCUUCACUUUAGUAGUGUUUCAAAGUUGCUGUAUUCUUUGGGGUUUUUUUAGAUGUUAUUUAAAUUACUUUUAUAAAAUUGCAUUCUUUAUUUGAAACAGCCCCAGAAAUCUCUGCUUGCGCAUGCAGAGAGGAAGAAACCUCUUGUAUUCUGGAGGGGUAAAGUCUGUGUUUCUCGCGGAGGUUCCUUUUAAUGAGUGGCUCUGGAUUUUUAUCUUGUGGAGAAGACCACGGACCCUUUUGGGGGCUGUCAGCGUGCCUAGCAAGCUGUAGUGUGUGUAACCCUGUGGGAGCCAGGAACACGCAUAAAAAGGUUUUUGGGGAAGACCUCCACCUGCUGACAGUGCUCUGUCCAAAGCAGCCCAGGAACCGCUCACUCCGUUGCCCCAGGGGCACAUCACUGGCCCACGGUCACCUCGGUGUCCCCAACACCCCCGGGGCCAUUUCUGCUUCCAUCUGGGUGGCCCAGGACUGCCUUGCGGUUAUUCCUCCCCAAAUGCAGGAGUUCUCAUUGCUUUUUGGUGAACUCCGUGAUGUUACUGUUGCCCAUUUCUCCAUUUUUUGCCUUGUGGAGAUGCCCAUGGGUGUCUGAGAUGGUGCUGGGUGCUCCCCUGCCCACGUCUGCCCGACGUGCACCUCCUGCCCCAUCUUGUGUGAGCGCUCUCGCUGGCAGGUUCUCUGCAGGGGUGUGUGCUGCACAUUGUUUUCUGGCAUUGUUAGGAGAGCAAUGGGAAUCUGGUGUGGAUUUCUUAGCUUGGAACACGUUCAGAUGCCUAAACUUUUCAUGCUGAUUACCUAGCAGUUCUCCUUGUUCCAGGGAAGUGUUGUUUGAACAAAGCUUUGCAUGAAGAAUGGAGAGAGGAAAGAAAGAAGGGGGAAGCAGGAAAAGGGCCUCUCCGUGCUCUGCACAGCUUUGCUCUCAAUUUAGGACUCAAACACCUUUGCGUUGCAGGUGCAUCAGGCGCCAACGAGGAAAUCAAAAGCCUCUUCUUGAAGAGCCCACGUCCGAAGUUAUUUCCAGUGCCCUUGUCCUCCUGUGCAUCCUGCAGUCCUUGGGGCUCCGAUUGCAGGCACUGAGGAAACCCGAGCUUGGGAAAAAAUCUAAAUAGUACCCAAGGAAGAACGUCAGGAAAUGCCCAUCAAACAGCUGAGCAGGGGAUUCCUGAACAGGUUUCCUGUACUUCUUUGAAAUGCUGAUAAAAAGCUUCGUGAGAUACCUGCACAGAUGAAUUUCCCAAAUAGGGUACUGAAAGCUUCACACCGCAGCGUUUGCAUGAUACUGGAGCUCCCACACGUGCUUGGUGUUUGGAUAGCGUUGUUAGACCCACUGGAACUGGCAUAAUGAAGUAAUGACAGACUGUUAGCUGGUAGAAGGGCACUGUGUCCUGUUGAAAGGAUUCGUGAAGUUUCUCCAAGGGACAGCUGUCGCUUGGAUCCUUUGGGUCCCAGUUCAUGUUUACCUCUGCACAUCCUCAGCAUGCUAACAGGGCUGAGCCCGGAGGGAAAGUGCCCUGCCUCCUCCUGCACGUCCCUGCGUGCAGGGCUGGGAAUGGCAUUGUGAGGGACCAGCAGCACCAACAUCCGCCUCCCGGUGUGACCCUGGGAGCGAGAGGAUGUGACUCUGGGACAGAGCCAACACUGGGGACCUCAGAGCCGGCAUGACAUGCAGCCAGGAACCCCUGAAAUGCAGCAGGGUCAUGGGAUCAAGCCCUGGUGGUGACAGCAUGCAUUCUACACGUGUUCCCUCACCAAAAUUUGGGUGCCCAGCUGCUGGCACACAGCACCCAUACCCAUCUGAGCUGGUGCUGGCUGCAGUAUGAAGCCAGGUGAAGGGGUGGGUUGUUAGGGACUGUCAAGAUAUCCCAUGUGCCUUUCAGUGUUUUCCUGCUUUUUAAUUGUGCUUGGAGCCUCUUCUGAACACUAAAAUCUAAAAAAUAUUUGGGAAAAUAUUGAAGUGCCA
Molecule: long non-coding RNA, 7075 nt
Organism: Numida meleagris (helmeted guineafowl)
Lineage: Eukaryota; Metazoa; Chordata; Aves; Galliformes; Numididae
Exons: 2
Source: RefSeq, a predicted model, not a curated record